RNAcentral lists this ribosomal RNA (252 nucleotides) under uncultured prokaryote. RNAcentral describes it as "partial 16S ribosomal RNA". It matches the Rfam family "Bacterial small subunit ribosomal RNA", at positions 524 to 775 of the family's 1533-position model. The record is from RNAcentral.
UACAGAGGGGGCAAGCGUUGUUCGGAAUUACUGGGCGUAAAGGGCGCGUAGGCGGCCUGCUAAGUCGAACGUGAAAUCCCCGGGCUCAACCCGGGAACUGCGUUCGAGACUGGCGGGCUUGAAUUCGGGAGAGGGAUGCGGAAUUCCAGGUGUAGCGGUGAAAUGCGUAGAUAUCUGGAGGAACACCGGUGGCGAAGGCGGCAUCCUGGACCGACAUUGACGCUGAGGCGCGAAAGCCAGGGGAGCAAACGG